GUGAGGAAUUUUGCGCAAUGGGGGCAACCCUGACGCAGCGACGCCGCGUGGAGGACGAAGUCUUUCGGGAUGUAAACUCCUGUCAGUGGGGACGAUAAUGACGGUACCCACAGAGGAAGCACCGGCUAACUCCGUGCCAGCAGCCGCGGUAAGACGGAGGGUGCAAGCGUUGUUCGGAAUUACUGGGCGUAAAGCGUAUGUAGGCGGCAAGUUAAGUUCAAUGUUAAAGCCCACGGCUCAACCGAGGAGAUGCAUUGAAUACUGGCUAGCUAGAGGGUGUUAGAGGAAGACGGAAUUCCCAGUGUAGCGGUGAAAUGCGUAGAUAUUGGGAGGAACAUCGGUAGCGAAAGCGGUCUUCUGGGACAUACCUGACGCUGAGGUACGAAAGCGUGGGGAGCAAACGGGAUUAGAAACCCCGGUAGUCC
RNAcentral lists this ribosomal RNA (425 nucleotides) under uncultured bacterium. RNAcentral's name for it is "bacterial SSU rRNA". It matches the Rfam family "Bacterial small subunit ribosomal RNA", at positions 354 to 796 of the family's 1533-position model. The record is from RNAcentral.